GAUGAAGAACGCAGCGAAAUGCGAUAAGUAAUGUGAAUCGCAGAAUUCAGUGAAUCAUCGAAUCUUUGAACGCACAUUGCGCCCGCCAGUAUUCUGGCGGGCAUGCCUGUUCGAGCGUCAUUUCAACCAUCAAGCCCCCGGGCUUGUGUUGGGGACCUGCGGCUGCCGCAGGCCCUGAAAAGCAGUGGCGGGCUCGCUGUCACACCGAGCGUAGUAGAUUUUAUCUCGCUCUGGGCGUGCUGCGGGUUCCGGCCGUUAAACCACCCUUUUAACCCAAGGUUGACCUCGGAUCAGGUAGGAAGACCCGCUGAACUUAAGCAUAUCAAUAAGCGGAGGA
RNAcentral lists this unclassified non-coding RNA (337 nucleotides) under soil metagenome. Its description in RNAcentral is "partial contains 5.8S ribosomal RNA, internal transcribed spacer 2, and large subunit ribosomal RNA". The stretch from base 1 to 120 matches the Rfam family "5.8S ribosomal RNA", at positions 35 to 154 of the family's 154-position model. The record is from RNAcentral.